Molecule: ribosomal RNA, 379 nt
Filed under: uncultured bacterium
Lineage: Bacteria
Description: bacterial SSU rRNA
Rfam family: Bacterial small subunit ribosomal RNA
Source: RNAcentral
GACGAACGCUGGCGGCGUGCUUAACACAUGCAAGUCACGGGGGUUCGGGGGCAACUUCGGAUAACCGGCGAACGGGUGCGUAACACGUGAGCAACCUGCCUUUGUGAGGGGGAUAGCCGGGCUAACGCCCGGGUAAUACCGCAUACGAUUCUCGGGAGGAGUCUCCUGGGAAGGAAACCGGUGGGGCAACCCAUGGGGCACAGAGAGGGGCUCGCGGCCUAUCAGCUUGUUGGCGGGGUAAUGGCCCACCAAGGCGACGACGGGUAGCUGGUCUGAGAGGAUGGCCAGCCACAUUGGGACUGAGAGACGGCCCAGACUCCUACGGGAGGCAGCAGUGGGGAAUCUUGCGCAAUGCGCGAAAGCGUGACGCAGCAACGCC